This 435-nucleotide ribosomal RNA is filed under the name uncultured bacterium. RNAcentral describes it as "partial 16S ribosomal RNA". It matches the Rfam family "Bacterial small subunit ribosomal RNA", at positions 28 to 507 of the family's 1533-position model. The record is from RNAcentral.
GAUGAACGCUGGCGGUAUGCUUAACACAUGCAAGUCGAACGGACUCUUCGGAGUUAGUGGCGGACGGGUGAGUAACGCGUGAGAAUCUGGCUUUGGGUUCGGGACAACCACUGGAAACGGUGGCUAAUACCGGAUGUGCCGAGAGGUAAAAGAGAAAUUGCCUGAAGAUGAGCUCGGGUCUGAUUAGCUAGUUGGUGAGGUAAAGGCUCACCAAGGCAGCGAUCAGUAGCUGGUCUGAGAGGAUGACCAGCCACACUGGGACUGAGACACGGCCCAGACUCCUACGGGAGGCAGCAGUGGGGAAUUUUCCGCAAUGGGCGAGAGCCUGACGGAGCACUACCGCGUGAGGGAAGAAGUCUCUUGGGUUGUAAACCUCUUUUCUUAGGGAAGAACAAAAUGACGGUACCUAAGGAAUCAGCAUCGGCUAACUCCGUG